GAGAAGUCAGAGGACAGUUGAUAAGACACGUAGAAGACUUCAUACUGAAGAAGAAGCAAACAACAAAAUAGAACAUACCAACGAGUUGUGAGUGAGAAACUUAGCGCCCAGAUAAUAAUCUACAAAGAAGACGUCACUUUGUGAAUGUGAAAAUGAUUUGGAUCUACAUGAUCAUCACAUCUCUGGCAACGGCAGCUCUUUCAGAAGGUUCUGUAGAAUGCAACUUAACUAACACAACUAUAACAACCAAACAGUGUUUUGGAAAACUUGGAGAGUCGCUGAUGUUUCACCUACCGACUCCAACUACAAAAUUUACUUUGAAAAAGAAUAAGAGAGUAAUUUUUUGGUUUCCUGAUAAUCUUGAUGCAGUGGAUAAGAAUAACAAAAAGAACAAAAGAAUGACGUUUCUCAACAAUGGAACAGUAAAGCUCAACAAGCCAUCAAAGGAAGAUUCUGGAGAUUACCUGCUGGAACCAUAUGAUUCCACCACAGUUAGACUCUUGCAUAACAUGAGCAUCCAUGUAGAAAUACAAGCUCCUGUGUCUAAACCAGUUGUGUCUCAGACAUGUUUGUCACCAGAACAGAUGAAGGUCAGCUGCUCCUCUGAGGGAGAUGGAGCAGAGAUCAUUUUAUCUUUGGACAAUAACUUAUGGAUACACAGCGGAGCUGCAG
Long non-coding RNA from Mugil cephalus (flathead mullet), 672 nucleotides. RefSeq lists it as uncharacterized. NCBI's taxonomy places the organism in Eukaryota, Metazoa, Chordata, Actinopteri, Mugiliformes, Mugilidae. The record is from RefSeq and is a predicted model, not a curated record. The transcript has 5 exons.